GGAAGUAACUUUGCUCAGUGGAAGAGCAUCUGCUUUGCAUGCAGAAGUCCCAGGCUCAAACUCCCGCAUCUCCA
Non-coding RNA from Podarcis lilfordi (Lilford's wall lizard), 74 nucleotides. The record is from the annotation of a GenBank genome assembly. Lineage: Eukaryota; Metazoa; Chordata; Lepidosauria; Squamata; Lacertidae.